Molecule: ribosomal RNA, 497 nt
Filed under: uncultured bacterium
Lineage: Bacteria
Description: partial 16S ribosomal RNA
Rfam family: Bacterial small subunit ribosomal RNA
Source: RNAcentral
GAUGAACGCUGGCGGCGUGCCUAAUACAUGCAAGUCGAGCGAAUAGACGAGGAGCUUGCUCCUCUUACGUUAGCGGCGGACGGGUGAGUAACACGUGGAUAACCUACCUAUAAGACUGGGAUAACUUCGGGAAACCGGAGCUAAUACCGGAUAAUAUAUUGAACCGCAUGGUUCAAUAGUGAAAGACGGUUUUGCUGUCACUUAUAGAUGGAUCCGCGCCGCAUUAGCUAGUUGGUAAGGUAACGGCUUACCAAGGCAACGAUGCGUAGCCGACCUGAGAGGGUGAUCGGCAACACUGGAACUGAGACACGGUCCAGACUCCUACGGGAGGCAGCAGUAGGGAAUCUUCCGCAAUGGGCGAAAGCCUGACGGAGCAACGCCGCGUGAGUGAUGAAGGUCUUCGGAUCGUAAAACUCUGUUAUUAGGGAAGAACAAAUGUGUAAGUAACUAUGCACGUCUUGACGGUACCUAAUCAGAAAGCCACGGCUAACUACGUG